AGGGCGCAUGGAGGAUGCCUAGGCUCUCGGAGGCGAAGAAGGACGUGAUAAGCUGCGAAAAGUUACGGUAAGGCGCAAAUAGCCGUAGACCCGUAAAUAUCCGAAUGGGGCAACCCGGCCAGCAAUGGCCAUACCGCCAAGCGGUAAGCCAACGCGGGGAACUGAAACAUCUAAGUACCCGCAGGAAAAGAAAAUAACCAUGAUUCCGCAAGUAGUGGCGAGCGAACGCGGAACAGCCCAAACCACCCGUGUUACGGCACGAGUGGGGUAGAAGGAUCCACGCUACGGCAAGAAAUAAGUUAGCGGAAUACGAUGGAAAUCGUAGCCAAAGACGGUGACAGCCCAGUACGCGAAAACCGACAGAAGCCCAGUGGACACCUGAGUAACCCAGGACACGAGAAAUCCGGGGCGAAUCAGCGGGGCCCAUCCCGUAAGGCUAAAUACUCCCGAGAGACCGAUAGCGAACCAGUACUGUGAAGGAAAGGUGAAAAGAACCUCGAACAGAGGAGUGAAACAGACCCUGAAACCAUGCGCCUACAAGCGGUCGGAGCAUGUUAAAAUGUGACGGCGUGCCUUUUGCAUAAUGAACCUACGAGUUACUCUCGCUGGCAAGGUUAAGCGAUUCAGUCGCGCAGCCGAAGCGAAAGCAAGUCCGAACAAGGCGUACAGUCAGCGGGAGUAGACGCGAAACCAAGUGAUCUACCCUUGGUCAGGUUGAAGGUUGGGUAACACCAACUGGAGGACCGCACCGAUAAGCGUUGAAAAGCUUACGGAUGAACUGAGGGUAGGAGUGAAAGGCCAAUCAAACUUGGAGAUAGCUCGUACUCCCCGAAAUGCAUUUAGGUGCAGCCUCGAAGUAAAGUGAUAGAGGUAGAGCGACUGAUAAGAUGCGAGGGCUUCACCGCCUAUCAAGUCUUGACAAACUCCGAAUACUAUCACUUGAUCUUUGGGAGUGAGGGCAUGGGUGCUAAGGUCCAUGUCCGAAAGAGGAACAACUCAGACCACCAGCUAAGGUCCCGAAAUAAGGGCUAAGUUGAAUAAACGAAGUAAAACUGCAAAGACAGCUAGGAUGUUGGCUUGGAAGCAGCCAUUCAUUUAAAGAGUGCGUAACAGCUCACUAGUCGAGGAGUUUUGCAUGGAUAAUAAUCGGGCAUAAGCCCUUUACCGAAGCUGUGGAUGUCGUAAGACAUGGUAGGGGAGCAUUCCGGCGGCGACGAAGGCCGUCCUCGAGGACGACUGGAGCUUUCGGAAAAGCAAAUGUAGGUAUAAGUAACGAUAAAGGGGGCGUGAAACCCCCUCGCCAUAAGACUAAGGAUUCCUGAUCAACGCUAAUCGGAUCAGGGUAAGUCGGGCCCUAAGGCGCAGCCGAACGGCGUAGCCGAUGGAAGAAACGGUAAAGAUUCCGUUACUGGAUAUAGGAGCGAUGUGGAGACGGAGAAGUGACACACCCGCCUGCCGACGGAAGCGCAGGUUAAAGGAAGUAGGUAAACGCCGGGUAGGCAAAUCCGCCUGGCGUGCCGAAGCUGACAGUAUCGAGAGCCCCCGGGCAAUCGAAUAGCGGUGGUAAUCAGGCUCCCAAGAAAAUCCGCUAAGCAUAUUCUAUAUCCACCCGUACCCCAAACGGACACACGUAGUCGGGUAGAAUAUACCAAGGCGCUCGAAAGACUCACGGUUAAGGAACUAGGCAAAUUGACCCUGUAACCUCGGGAAAAAGGGUCCCCAGUAAGAUGGGGCGCAGAGAAUAGGUCCAGGCAACUGUUUAACAAAAACACAGGGCUGUGCAAAAUUUCAAGAUGAAGUAUACAGCCUGACACCUGCCCGGUGCCGGAAGGUUAAGAGGAGAGCUAAUCGCAAGAGAAGGCUUGAAUUGAAGCCCCGGUAAACGGCGGCCGUAACUAUAACGGUCCUAAGGUAGCGAAAUUCCUUGUCGGGUAAGUUCCGACCUGCACGAAUGGUGUAAUGAUCUGGACACUGUCUCAACCGUGACUUCGGUGAAAUUGUAGUAUCGGUGAAGAUGCCGAUUACCCGCAACGGGACGAAAAGACCCCGUGAACCUUUACUGCAACUUAGCAUUGCGUUUGGGCAUUUGAUGUGUAGGAUAGUCCGGAGGCUACGAGUCGGCGACGCCAGUCGUCGAGGAGCCGCUGUUGAAAUACGGACCUUCGAAUGUUUGAGCGCUAACUCGCUGUAGCGAGGACACUGUUUGGUGGGUAGUUUGACUGGGGUGGUCGCCUCCAAAAGCGUAACGGAGGCUUCU
RNAcentral lists this ribosomal RNA (2257 nucleotides) under human gut metagenome. RNAcentral describes it as "bacterial LSU rRNA". It matches the Rfam family "Bacterial large subunit ribosomal RNA", at positions 14 to 2311 of the family's 2925-position model. The record is from RNAcentral.